CCUUCGAUAGCUCAGUUGGUAGAGCGGAGGACUGUAGGCUACAUAUGUUGAUAUCCUUAGAUCGCUGGUUCAACUCCCGCUCGAAGGA
This 88-nucleotide transfer RNA is filed under the name Pleuronectes platessa (European plaice). It matches the Rfam family "tRNA". Rfam says of the family: Transfer RNA (tRNA) molecules are approximately 80 nucleotides in length. Their secondary structure includes four short double-helical elements and three loops (D, anti-codon, and T loops). Further hydrogen bonds mediate the characteristic L-shaped molecular structure. tRNAs have two regions of fundamental functional importance: the anti-codon, which is responsible for specific mRNA codon recognition, and the 3' end, to which the tRNAs corresponding amino acid is attached (by aminoacyl-tRNA synthetases). tRNAs cope with the degeneracy of the genetic code in two manners: having more than one tRNA (with a specific anti-codon) for a particular amino acid; and 'wobble' base-pairing, i.e. permitting non-standard base-pairing at the 3rd anti-codon position. Lineage: Eukaryota; Metazoa; Chordata; Actinopteri; Pleuronectiformes; Pleuronectidae. The record is from Rfam by way of RNAcentral.